This is a long non-coding RNA of Schistocerca cancellata (South American locust), 240 nucleotides long. RefSeq lists it as uncharacterized. The transcript is spliced from 3 exons. Lineage: Eukaryota; Metazoa; Arthropoda; Insecta; Orthoptera; Acrididae. The record is from RefSeq and is a predicted model, not a curated record.
AAUACGGAGAGUGCAGAGUGCGGAGUUCGUCUUUUGCUGUGACAACAACGGCUACCGUCUCGUCAGUAACAGGAUGCCGGAUGUACAGAAUUUACCUUUAGACUUAACACCUUGCCUGUCUAAGAAGGAAUUUGAUAACCGGAACACACCAAACGAUGGAGACGGCGAUCCCAAUAAAGGCUUCUUCUACGAACGCAUGGCCAUUUCUCUUGUCUUCCUCCGCUGUCUCAGGAAGCAGCU